GCCACAUAUGAGGAGGCUAUAUGGGAGUUGAUGAUGCACUAUGUUAUGUUUAGUACAAGUAACAUAGGCUAUGAUUCUAGUUAUCAUUUAAUUUUGUGGGCGUAUGCACCUAUGCGAGAGGGGUGCAUGUAAGUUCAUUUUGUACAUGCAUUUGUAUAUUUUAAUAUGCAUGCACCUAAAUAGAGCUCAUGCUUUGAUUUUAAUUUAUAUGGGAUUAUCCUUUUGCAUCUUACCCAUACUAGUUCUUCAUUAUAUCAUAUAGGACUAGUGUGAUUUUAGAUUUCAGAUUCAUGAGAAUAUUCUAUAAAGUUUGGCUUCACUUGUAUUAGUACUAGCAUCAUGUAGCAACAUUGUGCCCAUGUGUAGCCUAAUCAAGAGGAGUUUGGUGAUUUUUUCUUGCUUGUAUUAUCACCAGCAAAGCAUAGAGUAUAUACUUGUGGUGUAACCAAACUUGAAGCAAAUGUCAAUUUAUAAGCAUGUGACAUUUACAUUGCAUAUAUGCAUGGACUUUGCGGUGUAAUAUGAUUCCAACACCUACGUUGAUGCACUAGUUUUAUAUGGGGACUCGUGACAUGUCCAUAUGGGUAUUUUGAUUAAGUUUCACUUCACCCGUAUUAUCACUAGCACCGUGUAACAAUAUGUUCAC
This 646-nucleotide long non-coding RNA is filed under the name Hordeum vulgare. Its description in RNAcentral is "long non-coding RNA (HVUL_LNC002198)". The record is from RNAcentral. Lineage: Eukaryota; Viridiplantae; Streptophyta; Magnoliopsida; Poales; Poaceae.